This 253-nucleotide ribosomal RNA is filed under the name uncultured bacterium. RNAcentral's name for it is "partial 16S ribosomal RNA". It matches the Rfam family "Bacterial small subunit ribosomal RNA", at positions 524 to 776 of the family's 1533-position model. The record is from RNAcentral.
UACGUAGGGUGCAAGCGUUGUCCGGAAUUAUUGGGCGUAAAGAGCUCGUAGGCGGUCUGUCGCGUCGGCUGUGAAAACCCGAGGCUCAACCUCGGGCCUGCAGUCGAUACGGGCAAACUGGAGUGUUGCAGGGGAGACUGGAAUUCCUGGUGUAGCGGUGAAAUGCGCAGAUAUCAGGAGGAACACCGGUGGCGAAGGCGGGUCUCUGGGCAACAACUGACGCUGAGGAGCGAAAGCGUGGGGAGCAAACAGG